UUGAAUCCACAGAUGUGAGACC
This 22-nucleotide microRNA is filed under the name Bos taurus (domestic cattle). Its description in RNAcentral is "bta-miR-12000". The record is from miRBase by way of RNAcentral. Lineage: Eukaryota; Metazoa; Chordata; Mammalia; Artiodactyla; Bovidae.